This 89-nucleotide non-coding RNA is filed under the name Yersinia bercovieri. The record is from RNAcentral. Lineage: Bacteria; Pseudomonadati; Pseudomonadota; Gammaproteobacteria; Enterobacterales; Yersiniaceae.
AGGUUAUUGACAAAGUGCCGAUUGCGGAGAGAACAGGUAGAACGUAAAGACGCCGUAAAUCCCUCACUGGAGGCUCGAGCCGCGCCAUC